RNAcentral lists this ribosomal RNA (289 nucleotides) under uncultured bacterium. RNAcentral describes it as "partial 16S ribosomal RNA". It matches the Rfam family "Bacterial small subunit ribosomal RNA", at positions 333 to 614 of the family's 1533-position model. The record is from RNAcentral.
UGGUUCCUACGGGGGGCAGCAGUGGGGAAUAUUGCGCAAUGGGCGAAAGCCUGACGCAGCGACGCCGCGUGAGGGAUGAAGGUCUUCGGAUCGUAAACCUCUGUCAGCAGGGAAGAACGGUCACUGUGCUAAUCAGCAGUGAAUUGACGGUACCUGCAAAGGAAGCACCGGCUAACUCCGUGCCAGCAGCCGCGGUAAUACGGAGGGCGCGAGCGAUAAUCGGAAUUACUGGGCGUAAAGCGCUCGUAGGCGGUAUGUCAAGUAAAGGGAGAAAUCCCAGCGCUCAACG